This 814-nucleotide ribosomal RNA is filed under the name bacterium. Its description in RNAcentral is "partial 23S ribosomal RNA". It matches the Rfam family "Bacterial large subunit ribosomal RNA", at positions 1 to 883 of the family's 2925-position model. The record is from RNAcentral.
GGUCAAGCGAUUAAGGGCGUACAGGGGAUGCCUAGGCACCAGAAGAAGGGGCGCGGAAGGCUGCGAUAAGCUCGGUCGAGCUGCCGAACAAGCAUUGAAGCCGAGAUACCCUAAAAAACCGUGGGAAGUGAAACAUCUCAGUACCACGAGGAAAAGAAAGCAAACGCGACUCCGUUAGUAGAGGCGAUCGAAAGCGGAAAAGCCCAAACCAUUGGACAUGUCCAGUGGGGUUGUGGGGCCAACAUUAGAGUGAUUGGAUGCUAGCCGAACAGUCUGGAAAGUCUGACCAUAGCGAGUGAUAGUCUCGUAGGCGAAAGCGUGAAAAUCGUUCGUUGGUACCCGAGUAAGACCUGACACGUGGAACCGGGUCUGAAUCUGGGGGGUCCAUCCUCCAAGGCUAAGUACUCUCUGGUGACCGAUAGUAAACUAGUAGGGCGACUGAAAGGUGGGAAGAACCCCGUUGAGGGGAGGAUACUGAACCUGAAACUGUACGCUUACAAGCUGUCGGAGCCCGUUAAAGGGUGACGGCGUGCCUUUUGCAUAAUGAUCCGGCGAGUUACGGUAUAUGGCAAGGCUAAGUGGUUCAGCCAUGGAGCCGAAGCGAAAGCGAGUCUGAAUAGGGCGUCUAGUCAUGUGCCGUAAACACGAAGCCCGUGUGAACUACCCAUGGGCAGGUUGAAGCGUGCGUAAAAGCGCGUGGAGGACCGAACUCACUAAUGUUGAAAAAUUAGGGGAUGACCUGUGGGGAGGAGUAAAAGUCUAAUCAAACCGGGGGAUAGCUUGUUCUCUCCGAAAUAACUUUAGGGUUAGCCUC